Molecule: long non-coding RNA, 3618 nt
Organism: Pongo pygmaeus (Bornean orangutan)
Lineage: Eukaryota; Metazoa; Chordata; Mammalia; Primates; Hominidae
Exons: 4
Source: RefSeq, a predicted model, not a curated record
UGGAGGUUGCAGUGAGCCAAGAUCGUGCCACUGCACUCCAGCCUGGAUGACAGAGCAAGACUCCAUCAAAAAAAAAAAAAAAAAAGUGGAAAUAAAAAAGGGGUUGCAGGCCUACAAGGAAUCAGAAAAAUUUCCUUCAUGUGCAUGAAAUUGAGGCAGGUGAACAUGAUCAAAGAGAUCAGAACUGCCUCAGACAUAGGAGUCUGGCAGGUGAGAGAAAGGAAGAAAGAAGUGCUGGGCCGCCGGGGAAGCUUGGCGAGGGGUGGACUGGUGAGCAUGAGGCGUCAGCCUUUGUCCCCCCACCCCCACCGACACACACACGGCCGGAUGGGCCCCGUCUCUGUGGCCUCCAACUGUCACCCUUGAAGCUGCUGCAGUGACGAGCGCCAGAGAGAGAAGCCAGGAAGGAAAUGCUCCCACCCAGCACCUCCACCCACCAGGCGCCGGCCGGUGUGGUUUCCAUUUCUGCUUGUUUUCCUGGCGUCCACCCCUCCGUUCUCUCACUAAAGUGAUCUCUCUUGGCCAGGUGCGGUGGCCCCCGCCUGUAAUCCCAGCACUUUCGGGAGGCCGAGGCGGGCGGAUCACCUGAGGUCAGGAGUUCAAGACCAGCCUGACCAACAUGGUGAAACCCCAUCUCUACUAAAAAUACAAAAAGUAGCCAGGCGUGGUGGUGGGCACCUGUAAUCCCAGCUGCUUGGGAGGCUGAGGCAGGAGAAUCGCUUGAACCCGGGAGGCAGAGGUUGCAGUGAGCUGAGAUCGUGCCAUUGCACUCCAGCCUGGGCGACAGAGUGAGACCCUGUCAAAAAAAAGAAAAAAUCUCCCUUUUCUGUUGGAGCGUCUCCACUCCUUUGUCCUCAGCACCUUGAAUGGGAUUGGCUUAAGCCUGUUGGAGACUCUCCUCUUGGCCACAGCACAUGGUUCAGGGACGGGCAGUUGCCAGUCAGAGCCAGUAAGAUGCCCAGAGAAUUUUGCUGGAGCUGCCAGGAAUGAAAUACCUCCUUCUUGUGUGGAAAUUGCCUGAAUAGACUCACACCUGCUGGACAUACAUGAGCAUGGCUCUAGCUCUGGGAAAUGACUGUCCAUCGGGAACUGUGAAGAUGGGAACAGGUCGGAGAAUGGAGCUAUUUGCAGCAAGAAAAGAGAGCUGGGAAAUGUGGGCGGGAAUCAGAGAUUAAAUCAGUGGGUAACCAAGACUGGCUGCGAUGGAGUUCUGCUCCUUUCCUAAUUCCCCUGGAAGAAAGAGAGGCAUGGAACUGGCAGAGCCCUGGCAGCAUGACGAGGAAACGGACCCCAUUCUGCAGUAAUUAGAAAACGUCAUGAUACGAUGCCACGUGAAGUACACACGCUCAACCUGGAUCGAAUUAUGGGGAAACAUCAGAUGGGUCCAGAUUACGCAGGACACUCUCCAUGACGACUGGCCUGGAAUCUUCAAAAACAGCAAUGCCGUGAAAGACAGAAAUAAAACAGAAAAAAAGGGUUGUUGUGAGGAAUUAGAAGAGAUAAAAAAUGUAUGGCAGCUAGCCACCCCGUCUGGGAAGUGAGGAGCGCCUCCGCCCGGCCGCCCCGUCUGGGAAGUGAGGAGCGCCUCCGCCCGGCCGCCCCGUCUGGGAGGUGAGGAGCGCCUCUGCCCGGCCGCCCCGUCUGGGAGGUGAGGAGCGCCUCUACCCGGCCACCCAUCGUCUGGGAUGUGAGGAGCGCCUCUGCCCGGCUGCCACCCCGUCUGGGAGGAAGUGAGGAGCGCCUCUGCCCGGCCGCCCCGUCUGGGAGGUGAGGAGCGUCUCUGCCCGGCCGCCCCGUCUGGGAGGAAGUGAGGAGCGUCUCUACCUGGCCGCCCCGUCUGGGAAGUGAGGAGCGCCUCUGCCCAGCAGCCCCGUCUGGGAAGUGAGCAGCGCCUCUGCCCAGCAGCCCCGUCUGGGAGGUGAGGAGCGCCUCUGCCCGGCCGCCCCGUCUGGGAAGUGAGGAGCGUCUCUGCCCAGCAGCCCCGUCUGGGAGGUGAGGAGCGCCUCUGCCUGGCUGCCACCCCGGCUGGGAGGAAGUGAGGAGCGCCUCUGCCCAGCAGCCCCGUCUGGGAAGUGAGCAGCGCCUCUGCCCAGCAGCCCCGUCUGGGAGGUGAGGAGCGCCUCUGCCUGGCUGCCACCCCGGCUGGGAGGAAGUGAGGAGCGCCUCUGCCCGGCCGCCCCGUCUGGGAAGUGAGGAGCGCCUCUGCCCGGCCGCCCCGUCUGGGAGGUGAGGAGCGCCUCUGCCCGGCCGCCCAGUGUGGGAAGUGAGGAGCACCUCUGCCUGGCUGCCCCAUCUGGGAGGUGAGGAGCGCCUCUGCCUGGCUGCCACCCCGGCUGGGAGGAAGUGAGGAGCAUCUCUGCCUGGCCGCCCCGUCUGGGAAGUGAGGAGCGCCUCUGCCCGGCCGCCCUGUCUGGGAGGUGUACCCAACAGCUCCGAAGAGACAGCGACCAUCGGGAGCGGGCCAUGAGGUCGAUGGCGGUUUUGUUGAAGAGAAGGGGGGGAUGUGUGGGGUAAGGAAGGAGAGAUCAGAUUGUUGCUGUGUCUGUGUAGAAAGAGGUGGCCAUAGGAGACUCCAUUUUGUUCUGACUAGGAGAAAUUCUUCUGCCUUGGGAUGCUGUUGAUCUAUGGCCUUUCCCCUAGCCCCGUGCUCUCUGAAACAUGUGCUGUGUCAACUCAGAGUUAAAUGGAUUAAGGGCGGUGCAAGAUGUGCUUUGUUAAACAGAUGCUUGAAGGCAGCAUGCUCUUUAAGAGUCAUCAUCACUCCCUAAUCUCAAGUACCCAGGGGCACAAACACUGCAGAAGGCCGCAGGGACCUCUGCCUAGGAAAACCAGAGACCUUUGUUCAUGUGUUUAUCUGCUGACCUUCUCUCCACUAUUAUCCUAUGACCCUGCCAUAUCCCCCUCUCCGAGAAACACCCAAGAGUGAUCAAUAAAUACUUAAUUAAAAAAAAAAAUGUAUGGCAGCUAGAGGUGUGGACUCUAAAUGUCAGCAGCCUGCGCUGUCCCCAUGAGGACCCAGAACCGAGUCAUAAAGCUGAGCUAUCCACCAGCUGGGGACAAUGCAGGCUGCUCCUGGGAUCUGUUUACAGAAGAUGAUGUGUGCUGGCAUUUCCAGCUCUACUGGUCCUUGUGGAAAAAAUUAGUGGUAUUGGUAACAAUUUCCUUGGGCCAAAACAGAAUCAUACCACGGCUUUAAUGAAAGGACAGAUUUGAAACUAUCCUCCCAGGGAACUUGCACAUUCAGAAAUGGAUGCGUAUUAGUAACCUACAGUUUUGUUUUUCUUGGUGCAUUCCAACAUACAUAUUGAAACAGUUUCCAGUCAAUAUGCUGUUUAUGCUGUUGCCUGGGGUCAUCCAUCACUUCUGGACUGCUCUUCCUCUCCCAUUCUGAAAUCUUUACAGAGGCCAAGAUGUCGUGGACUCCCUUUGAUGGACUCUGCCUGGUGUGGGCUGGCGAUAGGCAUUGGAAGCUUCUCAGUCCUUCUCAGUGGACAAAGGAGACUGUGAUGACCCCUGGGGUGUGCAGCGAAGGUGGGAGAGAAAGCAGGUUGAGGAGCUAGGUGAAGGAUUGAGAAAUCACUCAAACUGGGGAAUAGUAAAUUAGUGCAUUUUAUUUUU